RNAcentral lists this transfer RNA (70 nucleotides) under Loxodonta africana (African savanna elephant). It matches the Rfam family "tRNA". From Rfam's summary of the family: Transfer RNA (tRNA) molecules are approximately 80 nucleotides in length. Their secondary structure includes four short double-helical elements and three loops (D, anti-codon, and T loops). The record is from Rfam by way of RNAcentral. Lineage: Eukaryota; Metazoa; Chordata; Mammalia; Proboscidea; Elephantidae.
GCAGUGGUGGUUCAGGGUAGAAUUCUCACCUUCCAUGCAGAGGACCUGGGUUUCAUUCCCAGCCACUGCA